GCUGCAGUGGCCUAGUGGUUAGAGCGCCCGCCUCGGAUGCGGGAGGUCGCGGGUUCAAACCCCGGCCGAGUAAUA
Potamilus streckersoni is the source of this 75-nucleotide non-coding RNA. The record is from the annotation of a GenBank genome assembly. Lineage: Eukaryota; Metazoa; Mollusca; Bivalvia; Unionida; Unionidae.